Molecule: ribosomal RNA, 1319 nt
Filed under: Talbotia naganum
Lineage: Eukaryota; Metazoa; Arthropoda; Insecta; Lepidoptera; Pieridae
Description: Talbotia nagana 16S ribosomal RNA
Rfam family: Eukaryotic large subunit ribosomal RNA (bases 1068-1226)
Source: RNAcentral
GGGGCAAAUUUAAUAAAAAAUAAAUAUGAAAAAAAAUUUUAAUAUAAAAUAUUUAAUGGGGGUUAAAGUAUUUUUAUAGAAAAAAUUAAUAAAUUUAUAGUGAAUUAGUAUUGUAAAAGAAAAUUGAAAAUAUUGAAAUAAAAAUUUAUUUAAAAGUAAAUUUUAUUUAUUGUAUCUUGUGUAUCAGAGUUUUUUAAAAAAAUAAUUUGGUUAAAUUUAUUUCGAAUUUUAAAGAGUUAAUUAAUUAAAAAAGUUAAUAUUGCAUAAUUAUUUUUAAUAAUUAAUUGGAAAUGAAAAGUUAAUCGUUUUAAAAGAUAUCUAAUUUUUUUAGAAAAAAAUUUAAUUUUAAAUAAUUUUUUUUUACUCAUUUAUUAAUUAAUAAGUAAAAAAAUUAAUUUUAUAUUUUAGGGGAUAAGCUUUAAAUUAAAUUUUUAUAAUAAAAAUAAGAUAAAUUGAAAUUUUUAAAAUUUAUAUUGUUUAAAAAUUAUAAUUUUUUAUAAAUAAUUUCAUUUGAUUAAAAUUUUAUUUUAGUUUAAUUUUUUAUAAAAAAAUAUUUUUUAUUGAUUAAAAAAUAGAUAUAAUGAUAAAAUUAGUAUAUAAUUUAAAAUAAAAGAAAAAAUUAUUUAAAUUAAUAAAAAGGAAUUCGGCAAAAAUUUAUAUUCACUUGUUUAUCAAAAACAUGUCUUUUUGAAAAUAAUAUAAAGUCUAAUCUGCCCACUGAAUUAUUUUAAAGGGCUGCAGUAUAUUGACUGUACAAAGGUAGCAUAAUCAUUAGUCUUUUAAUUGAAGACUGGAAUGAAUGAUUUGAUGAAAUAUAAACUGUCUCUUUAUUAAAAAUAGAAUUUAAUUUUUUAGUCAAAAAGCUAAAAUUUGUAUAAAAGACGAGAAGACCCUAUAGAGUUUUAUAUUUUUAUUAAUAUUAAUUUUAUAUAAAAUUUUUUAUUGAUAUUGAUAAAAAUAUUUUGUUGGGGUGAUAGAAAAAUUUAAAAAACUUUUUUUAAAAAAUUAACAUUAAUUUAUGAAAUUUUGAUCCAUACUUUGUGAUUAUAAGAUUAAAUUACCUUAGGGAUAACAGCGUAAUUUUUUUUUUUAGUUCGUAUAAGAAAAAAAGUUUGCGACCUCGAUGUUGGAUUAAGAUAAAAUUUAGAUGCAAAAGUUUAAAAUUUUGAUCUGUUCGAUCAUUAAAAUCUUACAUGAUCUGAGUUCAAACCGGUGUGAGCCAGGUUGGUUUCUAUCUUUAUAAUAAUAUAAUAAUUUAGUACGAAAGGAUCAGUUAUUAGAAAUAAUUUUAAAUUUAAGAAUUUUAAUAAUUUAUUUUU